Hylaeus anthracinus is the source of this 2475-nucleotide long non-coding RNA. RefSeq lists it as uncharacterized. The transcript is spliced from 4 exons. Lineage: Eukaryota; Metazoa; Arthropoda; Insecta; Hymenoptera; Colletidae. The record is from RefSeq and is a predicted model, not a curated record.
GUUCAAUCCUCCCACCUUCACAUCAUUCUUUUGCUCCGAAACGGUUUCAAUUGGAGGAACUAAAACUUCUACAGAAAUAACCGAGUUAUCUGGUACUAAUGCAGGUUCCACUUUUUCUUCAGCUGGUACAGAAUUGUUGUUUAGGUGGCCUUACUUUUGCAAUGUUCAAAAACGUUGGAAAACCUUGUUCAUCGAAUCCACCAGAAUAAUUUUUAGGAAGAUUUUCUGUUGGCCAAGGAUCUACGUAAUUUGGAUCUCGACAACACUUGCCGAUUAUUCCAUUGUCAGGAUUUUUGCAAGACUGUAAUAUGAAAAUAAUUAUUCGAGAGACAGGCUCUGUACUGAUUGUACCACCUGCGGUGCAAUAUUGUUCUUCGACACAAAGGAGAGCUGCCGCGCAACCAAACUGUACGUGGGUUGCGUUUGCAAGAAAGUCUAAAGUUCAGAGCGAACAUCCCUGGGACGUACAGAAUUUAGGUCCCAUGGACGUUCACAGGACGUUCCGGCCGGACGUUUGGACGUAAACUGGACAUAAAAUGGACGUCCGGUGCUAUCUGGGUAGAAGAAAAGUUUACUUAACUUUAUUAUGUACACAAACAAAUAGAUACAUACUAUAUGUAUAUAUCUUCCUGUAUUAUUAUUUUUGAACUUUAUUGUGAAAAAACAAUAACAAUUUUAAUUUUUUUUUAGUUGUAUUUUUUUAAAGUAGAUACUAAAUAAAGUGAAUAAAAAAGAAUAAAAGAAUCAAUCAAUCAAACCAAAUUUCAGAGAAGAAAGUAUUCUUUUAUUCGAACAUCAUUUCUGGAAUGAAAAAAUGAAUGGACCUGGAAGGAAGAGAUGAAAUUCGGGUUGCGGGAAUUAAUUUUUCGUUACUAAUGGAUUAUUAAAAAAGAGAAACAUGCCGUUUCCACUGAAACUACUUUCAUGUUCGCGGUAUGAUAUAUUAAUAUAUUAGAGAGAUAUUUCCCUAUUCCAGGUCACGUAUUUGGCUUAUUAAAAGCAAUUUCCCCGUAUCAGAAUAAGCAAUGAUUAAAUUGUAUACUUCCUAAAUGCAAAUUAAUUACGUAUUGCACUUAACACAUUACUACUAAAUAGAAAAUUUUAAUAAUUUAAUAAUUUUGAAAAAAUUCCAGUAAAUAAAUUUCAGUGGGUGGAUCAUCCAUGAGAUAUAAGUACAAUGGCAUCAAUCUGUUACACUAGGAUGAUAAUAAUUAAGAGAAUGUUCUUGUUACAGUUUUAUCCAAAGUUACUUGUAACACUGCUUAUGUGCAAUGCAUUGUUUUAAUUUCAAUUGAGUACUAUAUCUUAAAUCUUUCAUUCCCAGGGUGAUACAAAACGUGUUUUCAUAAAGCUAUUGUUGAAUGUUCCAGAUUUUUAUAACGUAGGCACAAAGAGUGUGCAGUAAAGUAACAGCAAAUAAACAGAAUUGUUACUAAUUCAAUAAAAAUUACUCUAUUAAACAUAUUCUUGCGAAUACCGUAACGGAAUUCUGUUUUACUAGUUCCUACUAUUUGAAAACGUUAAAGGGGUUGACUUGCUUUAACUAUUCAUAUUGCAGAAUUUGUUUUUUAAAGAAAUACUCUACCGAUAGCAGAAAAUACUACAUUUGAAAUAAAGGCUUUUCUAAAAGAAGUUUUAAGAUUCUGAUUUUAAUUAAACAAAUAGUGCGUAAUAUAUCAGAUUUGUUUCUUUUAAAUGAAAGUAUACACGAUUAAAUUUAAUGGUAUAAAAUGAUGUUUAAGUGUUAAACUAAACUCUAUUAAAAAAAAAAUCCUAGUGGCCCUUCUGGAAAUCCCUUUAUAAGCCAAGGUAGCCGUGCAACGAACAAUAUUUGUAAAUUUAAAGAAAGCGUUUUGUACAAGAAUAUUGGCUGAUGGGCGAAACGAUGAGAAGCAAUCAUUGUAAUUUAUGGAAAAAAAAGACCGAUCACCCAGAAAUAGCGGCCGACCGCAUCAUCAUAAUCGAAAGAGAAAGGGAAUAUAGACGUACGCAUAUACAUGCUUUUUACUUUUCUAAUGUCCUAAAUUCCUAGAAUGAUAUUUUGGAGUCCACGUCAUUCUUUCUCGACCUCGAGUAUGUUUCACUCCGCCUCUUUGCCGCCUUCUCUCGUUUAACAUCUGCCCCCCUUGUUUUCUCGUCCAUGUUAUUAGUAAUUACUAUUUAUAAUAAGACUUUCGAGAAGUAGUUGUAUCGAGUUUUGUAAAUUAAUUUUGUGAUUUUAUUUUCAUUUUUUAGUCGAUCUCUAACAAAUACUAUCUUUUUUCUAUUUUGUUAAACAUUACAUUACUUUUAUUCUGUUCUUUAUCAAUCGUCAGUCAAAAAUUGAUCGAUUUCAUCAUAUCAAUUAAUUUUUAAAUGUUGCACUCAAAGUUGAUAGAUUGAUGGAAUUUGUAUUCAUUUGUUCUACUGUCCAAACAAUUUUUUAUUAUUAUCACGUUUGUAUUUACAUUUGCCCAUUUAGCUUAAUUGGGUAUA